ACGGGACACCUGCAUCUGCCAACAAGACUGGAAGCAGAAAGGGACAGAGACGGCGAAGUUUGACGGUCUGGAAAGCAGAGACCAGCAGGGCUGACUGCUUGGGAGCACCAAAUAUCCGGACAGCGCCUCUCGGGAGGUCCGAGAAGAGAACCGCGAUCUGUUUCAGCACCGGGGCUCAGGACAGUUCCCAGCGGGCUCCGUUUCGUCUCCAGAACCCUGGACAGCUCCUCCAGACUUCGGUGAGAAACCUUGUGCCAAGCAUUUUACAUACAUCAUAUCAUGCCAUCUUCAACCCUAGGACAUGGGUGUUACUGUGCCCAUGUGACAUUUGGGGAACCCAAGGCCCUGAGAAAGGCAGAAAAAUAACCCACGCAGGGACUCUCAGCCCACAAGUGAAGCUGAGAACCGGGAAUGGAAAACAGGGAGGCAGCACAGAGGCAGGAAACUCAGGUGUCAUAGCUUGGCUCAGCCUCAGGGCUUUUGCCUCUGCUGUUCCUGCAGCUUGGAAUGCACUCCCUCCACCUCCAACCAGAGCUCCCCACAACUGACCCUGCCUUCUUCUGCAAGCUCCAUUUCAUCAAGGGAAACGAUCCUUAUUGCCUCACCAUUUCCCACGUGAAGUCUGUAUUGACAUUCUCAUAGACCUGGGAUAUUGUGUCUGCAGCACAUAGUCCAAUUAUUUUCAUGUUAUCUACUGACAGGUCUAUUUGUCUCCCUGUUACACUGUGAGCUCCGUGAGGGCAGAAACAAUGUUAGUAUUUUCACUGCUGUGUCCCCAGCGCCUGGUCCGGGGCCCGGCACACAGCAGGCAUAUAAUAAGCAUGUGUUGAAUCAAUAAAGGCAUCAAAGAAUAAACCAAUACAUCAAUCAAUAAA
RNAcentral lists this long non-coding RNA (875 nucleotides) under Homo sapiens (human). RNAcentral describes it as "HSALNT0395806". Lineage: Eukaryota; Metazoa; Chordata; Mammalia; Primates; Hominidae. The record is from RNAcentral.